AGAGGGUUACUCAAGUGGUUAAGAGACUAGUCUUGAAAACUAGCAAGCGGUAAAACGUGCGUGGGUUCGAAUCCCACACCCUCUGCCA
Molecule: transfer RNA, 88 nt
Filed under: Bacillus cereus
Lineage: Bacteria; Bacillati; Bacillota; Bacilli; Caryophanales; Bacillaceae
Description: tRNA-Ser
Rfam family: tRNA
About the family: Transfer RNA (tRNA) molecules are approximately 80 nucleotides in length. Their secondary structure includes four short double-helical elements and three loops (D, anti-codon, and T loops).
Source: RNAcentral